RNAcentral lists this ribosomal RNA (773 nucleotides) under uncultured Neocallimastigales. RNAcentral describes it as "partial large subunit ribosomal RNA". It matches the Rfam family "Eukaryotic large subunit ribosomal RNA", at positions 22 to 645 of the family's 3401-position model. The record is from RNAcentral. Lineage: Eukaryota; Fungi; Neocallimastigomycota; Neocallimastigomycetes; Neocallimastigales.
GUACACGCUGUGACUAGCAUAUCAAUAAGCGGAGGAAAAGAAACUAACAAGGAUUCCCCUAGUAACGGCGAGUGAAGCGGGAAGAGCUCAAGUUUGAAAUCUUAAAGGGCUUCCCUUUACGAAUUGUAGUUUAAAGAAGUGUUUUCUGUUGAGGUUUUGGUAAAAGUUCUUUGGAAUAGGACAUCAUAGAGGGUGAGAAUCCCGUAUUUGACCUUUACUUUCAACUUUGUGAUACACUUUCAAAGAGUCGGAUUGUUUGGGAAUGCAGUCCAAAAUGGGUGGUAAAUUUCAUCUAAAGCUAAAUAUUGGCGAGAGACCGAUAGCGAACAAGUACCGUGAGGGAAAGAUGAAAAGAACUUUGAAAAGAGAGUUAAACAGUACGUGAAAUUGUCAAAAGGGAAGCGUUUGACACCAGUGUUGUUUUUCUGAAAAUCAAUUAAAGAACUGUUUAUGCUAAGUUGUUUAGACUUUAUCAGCUAACUGUUUAGUUUUGAGCUUUUCUUUAAUGCACUUUUCAGUUAACAAGUCAACAUCAAUUUCUUUUGCUGUAAAAAAGCUUGAGGAAGGUGGCUUGAGAUUCGUCUUAAGUGUUUAUAGCCUCUUGCCUAUGCAGUCGGAGAGAUUGAGGUCUGCAGCGUAGAUCCUUCGGGGCUAAUGCAUUUGUGCUAAGUUAUAGCAUUUUAUAGACAACUUGUUGACUAUGAUUUGUCUUGUAGCUUACUCGCUUAUGUUAUUUUACCUACGCUUAGGAUGUUGAAGUCAUCGUAUCGCGC